This is a long non-coding RNA of Cyprinus carpio carpio, 784 nucleotides long. The record is from Ensembl. Lineage: Eukaryota; Metazoa; Chordata; Actinopteri; Cypriniformes; Cyprinidae.
GCGGUCCCCGAUGCCGAGGCGGUGCCCGAGGCGGUUCCCGAUGCAAUGUCCGAUGCCGUUCCUGAGGCCAUUCCCGAGGCGGUGCCCGAUGCCGAGGUCGUUCCCGAGGCGGUGCCCGAGGCCGUUCCCGAGGCGGAGCCCGAGGUCGUGCCCGAGGCCGUUCCCGAGGCGGUGUCCUUGUCCAAUGCCGUUCCUGAGGCCAUUCCUGAGACCGUUCCCGAGGCGGUGCCCGAUGCCGAGGUCGUUCCCGAGGCGGUGUCCUUGUCCGAUGCCGUUCCUGAGGCCGUUCCUGAGACCAUUCCCGAGGCGGUGCCCGAUGCCGAGGCCGUUCCCGAGGCGGGGUCCUUGUCCAAUGCCGUUCCUGAGGCCAUUCCUGAGGCCGUUCCUGAUGCUGUUCCGGAGGCCGAUGCGGGGCCCGAGAUGGUUCUGGAGGCGAUACCCGUGUCCAAGGCCGUUCCCGAGGCGGUGCCCUUGUCUGAGGCCGUUCCCGAUGCCGUUCCCAAUGCCGUGACCUGGCCAUCGCCACAGCCUGCUCCUUACUGGCUCCCCGAUUGGCAGGUUCCGUUCGGGCCACUCAAAUGGCGAAUUCCUCCCUGGCCGUCUGCACAACGAGAAUGGACUGAUCCACCGUGGCCACCUGAACUGCCUGGCCCCUCGUGGUCCCCCUGAACUUUCGGGUCCACCGUGGCCACCUGAACUGCCUGGUCCCUCGUGGUCCCCUGAACUUUCGGGUCCACCAUGGCCCCCUGAUCUGACCGAGCCACCUGGGCUACCAGGGGAGCCA